GACGAACGCUGGCGGCGUGCUUAACACAUGCAAGUCGAACGGUGAAGCUCCAGCUUGCUGGAGUGGAUCAGUGGCGAACGGGUGAGUAACACGUGAGCAACCUGCCCCUGACUCUGGAAUAAGCGCUGGAAACGGCGUCUAAUACUGGAUACGAGAAGGGUCCGCAUGGGCACUUUCUGGAAAGUUUUUCGGUUGGGGAUGGGCUCGCGGCCUAUCAGCUUGUUGGUGAGGUAAUGGCUCACCAAGGCGACGACGGGUAGCCGGCCUGAGAGGGCGACCGGCCACACUGGGACUGAGACACGGCCCAGACUCCUACGGGAGGUAGCAGUGGGGAAUAUUGCACAAUGGGCGAAAGCCUGAUGCAGCGACGCCGCGUGAGGGAUGACGGCCUUCGGGUUGUAAACCUCUUUCAGCAGGGAAGAAGCGAAAGUGACGGUACCUGCAGAAGAAGCACCGGCUAACUACGUG
RNAcentral lists this ribosomal RNA (468 nucleotides) under uncultured bacterium. Its description in RNAcentral is "partial 16S ribosomal RNA". It matches the Rfam family "Bacterial small subunit ribosomal RNA", at positions 28 to 507 of the family's 1533-position model. The record is from RNAcentral.